GUGAGGAAUUUUCCGCAAUGGGCGAAAGCCUGACGGAGCAAUGCCGCGUGAAGGAUGAAGGCCUAUGGGUUGUAAACUUCUUUUCUCAGAAAAGAAUUAUGACGGUAUCUGAGGAAUAAGCAUCGGCUAACUCUGUGCCAGUAGCCGCGGUAAGACAGAGGAUGCAAGCGUUAUCCGGAAUGAUUGGGCGUAAAGCGUCUGUAGGUUGUUUAAAAAGUAUUCUGUCAAAGAUUAGGGCUUAACCCUAGAUAGGCAGAAUAAACUUUUAAGCUAGAGUUUGGUAGAGGCAGAGGGAAUUCCCGGUGGAGCGGUGAAAUGCGUAGAUAUCGGGAGGAACACCAAAGGCGAAGGCACUCUGCUGGGCCAAUACUAACACUGAGAGACGAAAGCGAGGGGAGCAAAUGGGAUUAGAUACCCGUGUAGUCC
Molecule: ribosomal RNA, 426 nt
Filed under: uncultured bacterium
Lineage: Bacteria
Description: bacterial SSU rRNA
Rfam family: Bacterial small subunit ribosomal RNA
Source: RNAcentral